RNAcentral lists this ribosomal RNA (369 nucleotides) under Triticum aestivum (bread wheat). RNAcentral describes it as "partial small subunit ribosomal RNA". Lineage: Eukaryota; Viridiplantae; Streptophyta; Magnoliopsida; Poales; Poaceae. The record is from RNAcentral.
AUGUGUAUCACAAUUUUAAAAAUCUGCCUCCCGUUUGCGCGGUGGGAGCUAGGCCCAUGCAAUGCACAGCACAACCGGCUUGGUCCUCCAUGUUUUUCUUCUUCUUUUGGGGCACCGACGCCCCAUGUCUUUAUACCCCCAGCUUGCAGUUUUCAGGUUAAUUUAAUGUCGUUUUUCGUUGAUAUUUUUCCUUGCGAUGGUCUGCUUGCCAUGCCCGGACAGCAAAAAGAUGAGGGUUCGAGUCAUUGUAUAUGGAGCCAGAGACGCAAAGUUCCCAGUUAUUAUCCUCUCCAAGAUGAUCCCGGGAAAAUAUUGCUGAUGAAUGAUGAUGCAGAAUCACAGAGUUGCGGUGGGCACGAUGGUUCAUAG